UUAAAUUGAAGAGUUUGAUCAUGGCUCAGAUUGAACGCUGGCGGCAGGCCUAACACAUGCAAGUCGAGCGGUAGCACAGAG
This 81-nucleotide ribosomal RNA is filed under the name Klebsiella pneumoniae. RNAcentral's name for it is "partial 16S ribosomal RNA". It matches the Rfam family "Bacterial small subunit ribosomal RNA", at positions 1 to 79 of the family's 1533-position model. The record is from RNAcentral. Lineage: Bacteria; Pseudomonadati; Pseudomonadota; Gammaproteobacteria; Enterobacterales; Enterobacteriaceae. RNAcentral also lists the same sequence under 2 other names.